This 244-nucleotide unclassified non-coding RNA is filed under the name Glomus sp. RNAcentral describes it as "partial contains 5.8S ribosomal RNA and internal transcribed spacer 2". The stretch from base 1 to 65 matches the Rfam family "5.8S ribosomal RNA", at positions 84 to 154 of the family's 154-position model. Lineage: Eukaryota; Fungi; Glomeromycota; Glomeromycetes; Glomerales; Glomeraceae. The record is from RNAcentral.
GUGAAUCAUCAAAUCUUUGAACGCAAAUUGCACUCUCCUCGGAGAGUAUGCCUGUUUGAGGGUCAGCCUAUAAAAAUCGACAUCGUUGCUGUUUCGCGGUGGCGUUCGUCGGAAAUUGGGUCAUCUUAAAUCCUUUUUCUUUACGCGACUUAUAAUUUUCUUUUGUUUCCAUGCACGUUUCUAAUAUCUCUUUCUUUACUCGUUUACUGUAUCGUUUUUUACUUGACGUCCCCAUCAUAUCGGA